GUGUCAGCAGCCGCGGUAAUACGUAGGGGGCAAGCGUUGUCCGGAUUUAUUGGGCGUAAAGCGCACGCAGGCGGUCGGCCAAGUUCGGAGUGACAGUUUCCAGCUUAACUGGGAAAGGUCUUCGAAAACUGGUUGACUUGAGGACUUGAGGGGGAGACGGAAUUCCGGGUGGAGCGGUGAAAUGCGUAGAGAUCCGGAGGAACACCGAAGGCGAAGGCAGUCUCCUGGCAAGUUACUGACGCUCAGGUGCGAAAGCUAGGGGAGCGAACAGGAUUAGAUACCCUGGUAGUCC
This 292-nucleotide ribosomal RNA is filed under the name uncultured bacterium. Its description in RNAcentral is "partial 16S ribosomal RNA". It matches the Rfam family "Bacterial small subunit ribosomal RNA", at positions 505 to 796 of the family's 1533-position model. The record is from RNAcentral.